This is a non-coding RNA of Pelobates cultripes (western spadefoot toad), 500 nucleotides long. The record is from the annotation of a GenBank genome assembly. Lineage: Eukaryota; Metazoa; Chordata; Amphibia; Anura; Pelobatidae.
GUACAAUGGGUGGACUAACAGACACAUAAUUGAGAUCAGACCACUGACAUACAGGAACAGAGGGGGUUGAGGGCCCUGCUCGAUGAGCUUACAUGCUAGAGGGAGUGGGGUAUAGUGACACAAAGGGUUAAAGUAGGGGAAUUAAAUAGUUUGUUACAGAAGGGUUUAUUGAGUGCUUGGUAGGUCAUUUUUGACAGGUGAAGGAACGGAGUCAUGGGGUGGGGGAUGAGAAACCUGCUGACAGUUUAAUUGAUACGCUUUAAUAAAGAAGUGAGUUUUCAAAGAUUUUUUGAAGGAAUGGAGGCUGGGUGAAAGUCUGAUUGAGGAGGGAAGGGAGUUCCACAGAAUAGGUGCAGCCCUGGAGAAGUCUUGAAGGCGAGCAUCAGAGGUGGGGAUCCGGGCAGAGGAUAGGAGUAGGUCUUGGGCUGAGCGCAGGGGUCUCGUCGGGACAUACUUGUGUAUGAGGGAAGAUAGGUAUGUUGGAGCAGCAUUAUGUAGGG